AUGAUUUUCCCCAGCUACGUCUUUUAUUCUUUCAGGAAGACUGGACAAGGGGAUAUUGAGAAAAAGGGCAAAAUCAUCAGUUCCCUACAGGAGCUUCAGGUUGGUGGGAGCAGACAGUGCUUGGAAACUCAGAUGUCAGAGCUCACGGGGAAAACCACCCUCACCCACCCUGCUGGAGGAGUACAAUGGCACAAUGGCACCCUCUGUUGCCCUGCACGCUGCUCCCAUGUGGAUGUAGAACUCCCAAAAGUAUCCAUUCCCCACCUCUGAAUCUCAUCUCUUCCCAUCGAGCUUCCUUGUUUGUUUGGAGUUAUCCUGUUAUUUCCAUUUGUAAUAAAGUCCGUCUUGUUCUU
RNAcentral lists this long non-coding RNA (353 nucleotides) under Phasianus colchicus (ring-necked pheasant). Its description in RNAcentral is "lncRNA (ENSPCLG00000001400.1)". Lineage: Eukaryota; Metazoa; Chordata; Aves; Galliformes; Phasianidae. The record is from RNAcentral.